This 26-nucleotide small RNA is filed under the name Sinorhizobium meliloti 2011. RNAcentral describes it as "putative ncRNA". The record is from RNAcentral. Lineage: Bacteria; Pseudomonadati; Pseudomonadota; Alphaproteobacteria; Hyphomicrobiales; Rhizobiaceae.
UUAAGCCCCUCCCCCUUGUGGGGAGG